Molecule: long non-coding RNA, 300 nt
Organism: Venturia canescens
Lineage: Eukaryota; Metazoa; Arthropoda; Insecta; Hymenoptera; Ichneumonidae
Exons: 3
Source: RefSeq, a predicted model, not a curated record
GCCGAAUAUCGCGAUACGCGAGAUAUUCGACAAUAUUGAAGCAAAAACAUCUAUUCCAAGCAUGGCGAGAAUUGCGAUCCCGGCAAAUUACGCCAUCCGAGUUUAUUAUCAAAGCGGCAGCUUUAAAGGGUAAUGUUGACCAUUUGAUAGAUCAGGAAUUCGACGGACGGGCGAACACUUUAGGCUUCGACCUCGAGGAACCCCCAGUGGCAGAGUCCUUAGAACAAGAUCCGGGCCGCGAUAGAGAAAUAUUGGAGGGUCACCCACCGGACUGGCUACUCGACAAUGUCGAGAUCCCGU